UACGGAGGGUGCAAGCGUUGUUCGGAAUUAUUGGGCGUAAAGCGCGUGUAGGCGGCUUGAUAAGUCUGAUGUGAAAGCCCCGGGCUCAACCUGGGAAGUGCAUUGGAUACUGUCAGACUUGAAUACGGGAGAGGGUAGUGGAAUUCCUAGUGUAGGAGUGAAAUCCGUAGAUAUUAGGAGGAACACCGGUGGCGAAGGCGGCUACCUGGACCGAUAUUGACGCUGAGACGCGAAAGCGUGGGGAGCAAACAGG
RNAcentral lists this ribosomal RNA (253 nucleotides) under uncultured bacterium. Its description in RNAcentral is "partial 16S ribosomal RNA". It matches the Rfam family "Bacterial small subunit ribosomal RNA", at positions 524 to 776 of the family's 1533-position model. The record is from RNAcentral.